AAGUAAGAGUAAAUAAUGUUCAAAAUACAAAUUAUGGAAACUCUUAAAACUAUUAAUUUCUCAAUUUAUUUAUUCCUAAAGUAUCCAUAUAUAGUCUUUCGUUUUUUUCUUGUAUUAUGAAAAAUUAAGAAAAGAGAAAUUUUAUUAACACAUCUCUAAUUAUUAGAUACACAUUUCAUACUUAAUACACCACUUGUUAACUUUUUUGUUUUAACAUUUUACUAGAUACACAUACUCAAACUUCCUACAAUACUCUCAUUUAACAUACACAAAUUAUUCGCUAAAUAAACAACUCAUUCACUACACAUAUUUUUCUAGAUCUGCUACUCAAUUUAUUUUUUAAAAAAAAAUCACAUUACUAAGAUUUUUCUCAAAAUGUUUCAUAUUUCCUCAUACUAUUUCACCUCAUUGACAUAUUCCUUAAAUGUUUUUAUUUUUUCUCUAAAGGGUUUCACCUUGUUAAGAUCUUCCUCGAGAGAUUUCCCCUUUGUUAACAUCUUCUCCCAUUAGUUUUCUUCGACAAAUUUUCUUCUCAAGGAGCCUCUUACUUAAAUUGAUUUCAAGAUUUCUUGAGCCUACCGAAUCAAAACAAAACAAGACAAUACAUCACAAAAGUCUUUAACGGAACUUUCAGCAUUUAGAAUGUUCAAUCCUGUGUAAAACUAAAUUAACCGAUUCUUAGAAACCAUUAUAUAAUAUUCAUAUGCGGUGUCAAAAUAUUGGUACUCGAUUCAACUUUAAAA
RNAcentral lists this long non-coding RNA (743 nucleotides) under Fragaria vesca (wild strawberry). Its description in RNAcentral is "long non-coding RNA (FVES_LNC004078)". The record is from RNAcentral. Lineage: Eukaryota; Viridiplantae; Streptophyta; Magnoliopsida; Rosales; Rosaceae.